RNAcentral lists this ribosomal RNA (256 nucleotides) under uncultured bacterium. RNAcentral's name for it is "partial 16S ribosomal RNA". It matches the Rfam family "Bacterial small subunit ribosomal RNA", at positions 524 to 776 of the family's 1533-position model. The record is from RNAcentral.
UACAGAGACUGCAAGCGUUAUUCGGAUUCACUGGGCGUAAAGGGUGCGCAGGCGGUCGGGUGUGUCAGAUGUGAAAUCCCCGAGGCUCAACCUCGGAACUGCGUCUGAAACUACUCGACUAGAGUACUGGAGAGGGUAACGGAAUUCACGGUGUAGCAGUGAAAUGCGUAGAUAUCGUGAGGAACACCAGAGGCGAAGGCGGUUACCUGGACAGUUACUGACGCUCAGGCACGGAAAGCAUGGGGGAGCAAAAGGG